CGUAUCACUUAAAGUGAUUCAGCGGGUUACGAUUGACGGAGCGAAGCGACGUCAAAGCGUAUACAAAGUCGAGUCGGUUUAAGGAUACGUUCGUUGGGUAGGGGAGCGUUCUGUAAGCCUGUGAAGGUGGCCUGUGAGGGUUGCUGGAGGUAUCAGAAGUGCGAAUGCUGACAUAAGUAACGAUAAAGCGGGUGAAAAGCCCGCUCGCCGGAAGAGCAAGGGUUCCUGUCCAACGUUAAUCGGGGCAGGGUGAGUCGACCCCUAAGGCGAGGCCGAAAGGCGUAGUCGAUGGGAAACGGGUUAAUAUUCCCGUACUUGGUGUUACUGCGAAGGGGGGACGGAGAAGGCUAUGUUGGCCGGGCGACGGUUGUCCCGGUUUAAGCGUGUAGGCUGGUUUUCCAGGCAAAUCCGGAAAAUCAAGGCUGAGGCGUGACGACGAGGCACUACGGUGCUGAAGCAACAAAUGCCCUGCUUCCAGGAAAAGCCUCUAAGCAUCAGGUAACACGAAAUCGUACCCCAAACCGACACAGGUGGUCAGGUAGAGAAUACCAAGGCGCUUGAGAGAACUCGGGUGAAGGAACUAGGCAAAAUGGUGCCGUAACUUCGGGAGAAGGCACGCUGAUAUGUAGGUGAAGCGGUUUACCCGUGGAGCUGAAAUCAGUCGAAGAUACCAGCUGGCUGCAACUGUUUAUUAAAAACACAGCACUGUGCAAACACGAAAGUGGACGUAUACGGUGUGACGCCUGCCCGGUGCCGGAAGGUUAAUUGAUGGGGUCAGCGCAAGCGAAGCUCCUGAUCGAAGCCCCGGUAAACGGCGGCCGUAACUAUAACGGUCCUAAGGUAGCGAAAUUCCUUGUCGGGUAAGUUCCGACCUGCACGAAUGGCGUAAUGAUGGCCAGGCUGUCUCCACCCGAGACUCAGUGAAAUUGAACUCGCUGUGAAGAUGCAGUGUACCCGCGGCAAGACGGAAAGACCCCGUGAACCUUUACUAUAGCUUGACACUGAACAUUGAGCCUUGAUGUGUAGGAUAGGUGGGAGGCUUUGAAGCGUGGACGCCAGUCUGCGUGGAGCCGACCUUGAAAUACCACCCUUUAAUGUUUGAUGUUCUAACGUGGACCCGUGA
This 1123-nucleotide ribosomal RNA is filed under the name Salmonella enterica. RNAcentral's name for it is "partial 23S ribosomal RNA". It matches the Rfam family "Bacterial large subunit ribosomal RNA", at positions 1154 to 2238 of the family's 2925-position model. The record is from RNAcentral. Lineage: Bacteria; Pseudomonadati; Pseudomonadota; Gammaproteobacteria; Enterobacterales; Enterobacteriaceae.